Molecule: non-coding RNA, 125 nt
Organism: Triticum aestivum (bread wheat)
Lineage: Eukaryota; Viridiplantae; Streptophyta; Magnoliopsida; Poales; Poaceae
Source: Rfam
UAUAUACUCCCUCCGUCGCAAAAUACUUGUCAGAGAAAUUGAUAAAAAUGGAUGUAUCUAAAACUAUAAUAUGUCUAGAUACAUCCAUUUCUCCGACGAGUAUUUCCGGACGGAGGGAGUAUAUG